GGAUAUGUAGCUCAGUGGUAGAGCACAUGCUUAGCGUGCAUGAAGCCCUGGGUUGUAUCCCCAGCACUA
Molecule: transfer RNA, 69 nt
Filed under: Fukomys damarensis (Damara mole-rat)
Lineage: Eukaryota; Metazoa; Chordata; Mammalia; Rodentia; Bathyergidae
Rfam family: tRNA
About the family: Transfer RNA (tRNA) molecules are approximately 80 nucleotides in length. Their secondary structure includes four short double-helical elements and three loops (D, anti-codon, and T loops).
Source: Rfam by way of RNAcentral